RNAcentral lists this ribosomal RNA (897 nucleotides) under uncultured bacterium. Its description in RNAcentral is "bacterial SSU rRNA". It matches the Rfam family "Bacterial small subunit ribosomal RNA", at positions 8 to 916 of the family's 1533-position model. The record is from RNAcentral.
AGAGUUUGAUCAUGGCUCAGGACGAACGCUGGCGGCGUGCUUAACACAUGCAAGUCGAACGAUGAUCCGGUUUCGGCCGGUGAUUAGUGGCGAACGGGUGAGUAACACGUGGGUAAUCUGCCCUGCACUCUGGGAUAAGCCUGGGAAACUGGGUCUAAUACCGGAUAUGACCUUCGGUCGCAUGAUCGUUGGUGGAAAGCUUUUGCGGUGUGGGAUGGGCCCGCGGCCUAUCAGCUUGUUGGUGGGGUGAUGGCCUACCAAGGCGACGACGGGUAGCCGGCCUGAGAGGGUGACCGGCCACACUGGGACUGAGACACGGCCCAGACUCCUACGGGAGGCAGCAGUGGGGAAUAUUGCACAAUGGGCGCAAGCCUGAUGCAGCGACGCCGCGUGAGGGAUGACGGCCUUCGGGUUGUAAACCUCUUUCAGCAGGGAAGAAGCGCAAGUGACGGUACCUGCAGAAGAAGCACCGGCUAACUACGUGCCAGCAGCCGCGGUAAUACGUAGGGUGCAAGCGUUGUCCGGAAUUAUUGGGCGUAAAGAGCUCGUAGGCGGCUUGUCGCGUCGGUUGUGAAAGCCCGGGGCUUAACCCUGGGUCUGCAGUCGAUACGGGCAGGCUAGAGUUCGGUAGGGGAGACUGGAAUUCCUGGUGUAGCGGUGAAAUGCGCAGAUAUCAGGAGGAACACCGGUGGCGAAGGCGGGUCUCUGGGCCGAUACAUGACGCUGAGGAGCGAAAGCGUGGGGAGCGAACAGGAUUAGAUACCCUGGUAGUCCACGCUGUAAACGGUGGGAACUAGGUGUGGGCAGCAUUCCACGUUGUCUGUGCCGUAGCUAACGCAUUAAGUUCCCCGCCUGGGGAGUACGGGCCGCAAGGCUAAAACUCAAAUGAAUUGACGG